RNAcentral lists this ribosomal RNA (465 nucleotides) under Vreelandella stevensii. RNAcentral's name for it is "partial 16S ribosomal RNA". It matches the Rfam family "Bacterial small subunit ribosomal RNA", at positions 338 to 795 of the family's 1533-position model. Lineage: Bacteria; Pseudomonadati; Pseudomonadota; Gammaproteobacteria; Oceanospirillales; Halomonadaceae. The record is from RNAcentral.
CCUACGGGAGGCAGCAGUGGGGAAUAUUGGACAAUGGGGGGAACCCUGAUCCAGCCAUGCCGCGUGUGUGAAGAAGGCCCUCGGGUUGUAAAGCACUUUCAGUGAGGAAGAACGCCUGGUGGUUAAUACCCAUCAGGAAAGACAUCACUCACAGAAGGAGCACCGGCUAACUCCGUGCCAGCAGCCGCGGUAAUACGGAGGGUGCGAGCGUUAAUCGGAAUUACUGGGCGUAAAGCGCGCGUAGGUGGCUUGAUAAGCCGGUUGUGAAAGCCCCGGGCUCAACCUGGGAACGGCAUCCGGAACUGUCAAGCUAGAGUGCAGGAGAGGAAGGUAGAAUUCCCGGUGUAGCGGUGAAAUGCGUAGAGAUCGGGAGGAAUACCAGUGGCGAAGGCGGCCUUCUGGACUGACACUGACACUGAGGUGCGAAAGCGUGGGUAGCAAACAGGAUUAGAUACCCUAGUAGUC